AGGUUAUUGGCUUCUUCAAGAAUUAAGAAAGAAAGAUAAAAAAAAAGAGUUCAAGAGUUGAUCUCUAUCCAGACUUGGUUCAAGCCUAUUCAGGCUUUGAGUUUAAGUGAGUUGUAUCAAGAGAAACUUAUCUAAAUUAGUCUUAUAGAUAUCCAUAAAGGUAGGAUACUUGUGCUGCUAAUUCAGAACUUGCUCAACCCC
RNAcentral lists this long non-coding RNA (201 nucleotides) under Elaeis guineensis (African oil palm). Its description in RNAcentral is "long non-coding RNA (EGUI_LNC010056)". The record is from RNAcentral. Lineage: Eukaryota; Viridiplantae; Streptophyta; Magnoliopsida; Arecales; Arecaceae.